RNAcentral lists this long non-coding RNA (3849 nucleotides) under Homo sapiens (human). Its description in RNAcentral is "HSALNT0336602". The record is from RNAcentral. Lineage: Eukaryota; Metazoa; Chordata; Mammalia; Primates; Hominidae.
GAUCAUGUUUAAGUACAGAAGGUUCUUGAACUUUCAUUGAUGCAGUGGCUCUUCGCUUUGUUGACAAUGAAAUGUUCUACACUUUCUUUAAAAACAAAUGGUUUAAAAACUACCACACUUAACUGAAAAAAAAGCAAAAACAAAAAGUAAAUACUUUUCAAGCCAGCUGACCACCUUUUGUUCACAGCUAGGAAUGGUAGCAGAAUGCUAUGUGGUUAGAUACAGAAACAAGACAACCUGAAGCUAAAUGGAUGCCCAGUGCAUAGUCAACAGGCCCAGCCUCACAGUGCACAGCCUGAGCUACGGCCACUCCCAGAGGCAUCUUCUACCACAGCCUCAACAUCAAGCAAAGAGCAUCAAGAGUUUGUCUUGGUUGUUUUGUUCGUUUUACAAACUAUGGAUAUAUGCAAUUGAUAACUCAGGAUUUCUAGCUAAUAACCAUGUAGUUAACACUACCUUACAAAUUAAAAAAAAAAAAAUGCCAGAAGCACCUUUAAAUGCCUUAUCACACUAACAGCAAAGCACACAGAGUGAGGAGAGCAUGAAGUUGCCUUUUCAUUUUAAAAAUAUUUGGAAAUAUGUACAACUUUGAUAUAGUUUCAGGGUGCUCUAGACCCACUUGACCACUUCAUGUAAAGAGUUUCUAGUUUGAGAAACAACAAUAUGAUCAUAAUCAAACUUUGUAAUUAAAACUAAUGAGGGCAACAGAUACUUCUCAAAUAAGAGAUGUGUCAAUUACAGCUCUCCCCUACUUCAAGGCAGGUGUCCCCAACCCCUGGGCCAUAGAUAGAUACCAGUCAGUGGCCUGUUAGGAACCAGGCCACACAGCAGGAGGUGAGUGGCAAGUGAGCAAAGCUUCAUCUGUAUUUACAACCACUCCCCAUGGCUCACAUUACCAUCUGAGCUCCGCCUCCUGUCAGAUCAGCAGCAGCUCUCAUAGGAGAGCAAACCCUGUUGUAAACUGUGCAUACGAGGGAUCUAGUUUACCUGCUUCUUAUGAGAAUCUAACUAAUGCCUGAUGAUCUGUCACUGCCUCCCAUCACCCCCAGAAAGACUGUCUAGUUGAAGGAAAACAAGCUCUGGGCUCCCACUGAUUCUACGUUAUGAGGAAUUUCUCAAGAUUUUAUCUUUACUGAUUGAUUUCUAAGGGAUGCUACUUGCUUCUAACAUCAUGUUAAUCAGCAAUGUAAGCUCUGGCAUAGCUUACCAACCCUAAGAGUGGCAGGGAGUUGCUCUGUGUAAUGGUGGAGUACUCAGCUGUCUUCUCCAUGGUGGUUGAGUUCUCUGGAUGGGAUCAGCUUUCUUCACAUGUCACUGAAGUGAAAGGGGACAAUUGAAACCUAUUUUGACAGGUUUAAAAGCUAAAGCCAAGCCAGGAAGAGGAAGACAAGAUGAGAAACCCCAAAUCAAGGUAAGAGAAGAAAAUAAGUGCAACAUGCCAGAAAUCCAGUAAAGCAGUUCAAGUAUCAGAAGAGCGUGAAUCAAAACCAAGUGCAAGAAGAGGCACCUUGACAUUGAACUGAAGGCCACCAGGUACUCACUGGGUCAAUGACUCUUCUCAUUUUUAUUCUCCUGCCAGUGCUUCCAAUCGCUGAACUGAACUGGGAACAAAUCAACAAGGGAAACCAAGAGAUGCAUUCCUUGAAGUUCAGCCUCCAGGCCUCAAGUAAGGCAGAGGAAGAGAAUACAUAGAUCUGUGGAGAAGAGUGGUGAUGGUGGGAGCUGCCAAUAAAGAACUAUCAAAAAAGGAUGAUGCAACAGAAAAGCCGUCACCAGAUACCAGCACCUUAAUGUUGGACUUCUCAGCCUCCAGAACUACUUUACACCAGGAAGAGUUCCUUUUAAAAUUGGCCUGGGUGGCAGAGGUCAGAACAUACACAAUUCAACAACAACUUGCGCCACCCACCUCCAAUUCCCUGCUCUACAGGACCAUCCUGACUUCCACAGUGACCCGAGCACUGGCAUUCCAAGGACUCAAAUGACCACCUUCCUCGCCCUUCAAUAAGUAUCUCUCAGUGAAGAAAGUAUUUGGAUGAAUGACAGAAAGCAUCCUGAACUGUGCACCUGCAAAAGAUAUUUCACACAUUCCUUUUUGGACAUUUUGUUAUUUUCCUCUAAGCCGAUAGCCUUUCCAUCUUGUGCAGGAAAGAUCAUUAAGUAUUUCAUAGGCAUAAACAUUUCAUGUUCAAAACUUUUGGUACUUCAGUUGUAAUAUUGUUAUUGUACUACAUAAAUCUAAAAUAAAACCAGCUUCUCUGCCCAGUACCUAUCAGCUGCAAUUUAGGGGAAGUGCCUUUAUAUUUAUAUCCUAUGGGCCCAAUCAGGUAGAAAGAGAAUUAUUCUUUAUCUUGUCUAAUGUCCCCAAAUCUCCCAGGUCCCAAGUCACAGAAAGGCAAUGUGGUAGCAUUCUUCUGGGGACUCAUCAGAUAUAUCCUCAAAGUACUUUUGUCAAAUACAUUAUUCUAAUCAAUGUGAAUCCUAAAAUGUUAUUAUUAAUAGUAUAGUUAUAUGUUGUCAAUUUUUUUUGGAAUAUGAAUCAUUUUUGUAAGUAAUAUGUCAUUUGAUUGUCUCAAAAAUUCUAUCAAGUUAUCCCAUUUUGUGGGUCAAAGAACUAAGGUUCAGGAACAUGAAGGGACUUGCUUCAAUUAAUUGGUCAGGAUGUGAUGGCGGGGAGAUUUGGAGAGGCUCCAGGGUCCAAGGUUGAGCCUUUGUGCUAUUCUAUGUCACUUGGCUUCUGGCAGAGCACAGAUCUUAGAUGUUUAGCUCUUCAGUCACAGGAUGGAGAGGAGGGAAAGUCAGAAGCACGGAGGCGGUCCUGUUGUGUAGCACUGAUUUUCAGAAUCUUCCCCCAACACUUCAUCUUCCUCCUUGUUCUUUUCCUGGCCAAGCCUUAAUUGACCAGUUCUACUUCUAGUUAAGGACCAAUUCCUUCUGGCCCAGUGCUACAAGGACAUUAGCAAUCCCACUCCUUCACGAAGCUGAUUGUGAGUCAUGCCAGUUCCUCCUCCAGGCAGAACCAGGUGUGGGCACUCUUUCUGAGCUCCGCAUCGAACAUGGGGACCUGUGAUGCAGUGUUUUCAGCUCCCACUGGAGAGAUGCAGAGAGGGCGAUUUAUCAGUGACAGUCAAAAAAGCUGGUUCUGCCUCUUUCUAGAGGCAGAUGCAGGGGCCUAGAUGUUGUUAUUAAUCAUUCGUAAACGGUUCUGUGUUCAAAAUAGCAGUGUUUAAAUAUUUCAGAACAGGUCCAGCCUCAUAAAAAGUGGGUUAUGGGCUGUCAUGAUAACAUUUCAUCUCCUUCACCAUGUUGUGGCCGAGAGAAAUAAGCUGUCACUGCCACUUGCAUCCCUGACCCUCCAACAUGCCAGGGCACAGCAGCCAAUGGAGUGUGCUGGCAGCAAGGCAGGGGGGAGAAAGGCAGGACUACUCCAUCAAGAUACCACCAUGAACCAAAAGGGCAAUUUUCCCAUAUUUAGGCUGCCUGUUUGGGUUAACUAUCAACCAAAGACCUUUGUUUUUAAACAGAACCUUUUUUCUCUUUCACAUUUGAUAAAUAAAAGCCUUAGACUGAAAUUCUUUCUGAUUUUACUGCUUCCUUUAAGUUUUACCUCAUGACAUUUUGGAUAGACUGAAUGAAAUCAUAGUUUAUUUCCCUCCCUAUUCCGGUGCCUACCCUGCCCCGCACCUUUCCCACUUUCCCAGUUCUCGGAAUCUGUCUGACGUAACUGUUUAGGGAAGAUGGUAUUAACCUGAUAGCAUCUGAGGAACACCUGCCUGCAUUAUCACUACUUUACUCUGAGUUAGAAACCCCGUGCCCUUUUCAAUAACAAGAACAGGGAGAAACCAUCGUGAA